GAAGACGGUCAUAGCGGUGAGGAAAUACCUGUUCCCUUUCCGAACACAGAAGUCAAGCUUGCCGCGUUUUGUGCUUUAGUCUCCUACAAGAGGCGAACCACGGAUGCUGUCUUCA
RNAcentral lists this ribosomal RNA (115 nucleotides) under Candidatus Pacearchaeota archaeon CG1_02_32_132. The record is from RNAcentral. Lineage: Archaea; Nanobdellati.